UAAGACUACGUUUACACUAGAGCAAACGUUUCCGGAUUUGUAAAAGUAUCCGGAUUCCUUGUUUUUCAAGUAUAUGGAUCCGCGAGGCGUUUACACUGCACAGCCCGACACAGCGGUGGUCAAUAUAACGUAAAUAAUUUUAACCCUCUUAGUACUAGUGAUAUUAUGCGAUGUUUUGACCCUGUUUGGCGGUUGAAUUUAUUAGCAAUACAUUUGAAAAACAUACACCGGAACAAAUUGAUUCAGAUUCUUUACGGAAAGCCGUUUACACGAGAGUUUUCUCCGGAUUCAAAUGUUUCCGGAUACAAAGUUUCUACUUUUCCCCCCGGAUUCAAAGUUUUCGGAUACGUCCUAUAACCGAGAUGAUUUUCCACCGGAUUCGUCGCUGUAUGUGUAAACGCAUGUAUGAAUCCGAUGCCAAAACGUUUCGGUUUUGUCAUGAAUCCGGAA
Molecule: non-coding RNA, 450 nt
Organism: Paramuricea clavata
Lineage: Eukaryota; Metazoa; Cnidaria; Anthozoa; Malacalcyonacea; Plexauridae
Source: the annotation of a GenBank genome assembly